GGAGGCAGCAGUAGGGAAUCCCCUUAAAUGGACGAAAGUCUGACUGAGCAACGCCGCGUGAGUCAUGAAGGCUUUCGGGUCGUAAAACUCUGUUGUUAGGGAAGAACAAGUGCUAUCUGAAUAAGCUGGCACCUUGACUGUACCUAACCAGAAAGCCACGGCUAACUACGUGCCAGCAGCCGCGGUAAUACUUAGGUGGCAAGCGUUUUCCGGAAUAAUUGGGUGCAAAGCGCGCGCCUGUGGUUUCUUAAGACUGAUGUGAAAAACCACAGACCAACCGUAGAGGGUCGUUGUAAACUGGGUAUACUUUUAAGCAUACUAUGAUAACUGGAAUUUCAUGCGCAGACGGUUAAAUGCACUAUGGUCUUGUGUGGAAACCCAAUUGUCGUAAUGCAAACUUCCUGAGUCUUGAAAAUUGACUCUAGAACGUUGUCGAACAUCGCGAGGUGAGCUAUAUAUGGAUUAACAUACCACUGGCUAUUCUCCCGCCUCAAAAUAAAUCAAGUGCUUAAGCGAAUUAUAACGAUUCUCCUCCCUUAUUUCUGCCCUAUAUAUAAAAAUCUAUAAAUGAAACUCACUUACCUAGUUGAAAUUACUUCUCAUCCAUGGUCUUAUAUACCCCUCAAGGCAACAUCUACUUGUUGACUCCUUAACCAUAUCGAUUGGUACUUCUCGUAGCGUUAAAACCUAGUUCUAUCUACUCCAAUUAUUCUUAUUUUACCGCUAUCCUUGAUAUCCUCCUCCUCAAACCCCACCUCAAUUAGUGUUCUCAU
This 773-nucleotide ribosomal RNA is filed under the name uncultured Bacillota bacterium. RNAcentral describes it as "uncultured Firmicutes bacterium partial 16S ribosomal RNA". The stretch from base 1 to 511 matches the Rfam family "Bacterial small subunit ribosomal RNA", at positions 344 to 1533 of the family's 1533-position model. The record is from RNAcentral. Lineage: Bacteria; Bacillati; Bacillota.